UUUUAGGUCUAAUCUGCCCUAUGAGGAAUUAAAUGGCCGCGGUACUCUGACCGUGCAAAGGUAGCAUAAUAAUUAGUUUUUUAAUUGGAAGCUGGAAUGAACGAUUGGACGAGAAAAUAACUGUCUCAAUUUAAUUUUUUUAGAAUUUUAUUUUUAAGUAAGAAAGCUUAAAUUUUGUUAAAAGACGAGAAGACCCUAUAGAGUUUUAUAUUUAGUUAAUUUUUAAUUUUUAAGUAUUAUUUUAUUGGUAUUUAAUUAAAUAUUUUGUUGGGGCGAUAGAAAAAUAUUAUUAACUUUUUUUGGCUUAAUUCAUUAAUAUAUGUUUUUAUGAUCCAUUGUUUAUGAUUAUAAGAAUAAGUUACCUUAGGGAUAACAGCGUAAUUUUUUUUUAGAGUUCUUAUCGAAAAAAAAGAUUGCGACCUCGAUGUUGGAUUAAAAUAAAUGUUUGGUGUAGAAGCUAGAUAAUUAGGUCUGUUCGACCUUUAAAAUUUUACA
This 495-nucleotide ribosomal RNA is filed under the name Maladera rufotestacea. Its description in RNAcentral is "partial 16S large subunit ribosomal RNA". It matches the Rfam family "Bacterial large subunit ribosomal RNA", at positions 1844 to 2600 of the family's 2925-position model. Lineage: Eukaryota; Metazoa; Arthropoda; Insecta; Coleoptera; Scarabaeidae. The record is from RNAcentral.